GAUGAACGCUGGCGGCGUGCCUAAUACAUGCAAGUCGAGCGAACAGAUAAGGAGCUUGCUCCUUUGACGUUAGCGGCGGACGGGUGAGUAACACGUGGAUAACCUACCUAUAAGACUGGGAUAACUUCGGGAAACCGGAGCUAAUACCGGAUAACAUAUUGAACCGCAUGGUUCGAUAGUGAAAGGCGGCUUUGCUGUCACUUAUAGAUGGAUCCGCGCCGUAUUAGCUAGUUGGUAAGGUAACGGCUUACCAAGGCAACGAUACGUAGCCGACCUGAGAGGGUGAUCGGCCACACUGGAACUGAGCCACGGUCCAGACUCCUACGGGAGGCAGCAGUAGGGAAUCUUCCGCAAUGGGCGAAAGCCUGACGGAGCAACGCCGCGUGAGUGAUGAAGGUCUUCGGAUCGUAAAACUCUGUUAUCAGGGAAGAACAAAUGUGUAAGUAACUGUGCACAUCUUGACGGUACCUGAUCAGAAAGCCACGGCUAACUACGUG
Molecule: ribosomal RNA, 497 nt
Filed under: uncultured bacterium
Lineage: Bacteria
Description: partial 16S ribosomal RNA
Rfam family: Bacterial small subunit ribosomal RNA
Source: RNAcentral